Molecule: ribosomal RNA, 4877 nt
Filed under: Triticum aestivum (bread wheat)
Lineage: Eukaryota; Viridiplantae; Streptophyta; Magnoliopsida; Poales; Poaceae
Description: partial small subunit ribosomal RNA
Source: RNAcentral
ACGCAACCGCAACCACUCGCCGCAGAGUAGAGUACCGCCACUACUGCUCUUGUACGUACCCCUGUGGUACAUGUCUAUCUCUUUCUGGUUUGCCACGCAUUGAUAACCUCAGCCUACUUCCCGGGAAAAAAAAAUGAUAUCCUCAUCUACUCGUCCCGCAGUAGCAGUAAUGCGCUCACCAGUCCGGUGCAGUCCACUCCAGUCUCCACCACAGCCACCAGCGCCACUACAAUAGUGGUAGUAAAUUCGUCGCAACUUGCGCAUCUGCGUGCUCCUUCCCAGCCGAGCUGCAUCGCCGCCAUUAUUCAUUUCUGCUUUCACGGCUUCGUGCUGGCUGCGAAUCCUUUCGCUUCGGUGCUGGUGCUGGUGUGGCUGGCGGGCUGGUGUGUGACCCCUGUCGGCAGGCAGCCAUGGGGAAAGCUGCCAUAUGGCGGUGCUUUUGGACCUAGCUUCUUGUUCCUUUCGACGCGCCGCUCCUCCUUUUGGCUCCUGUGGUGACCCGUUCCUCCUGCUCCACUCUCUUGAUCUGCGCACUGAUUGAUGCCGGCCUGAGGGGAGGAGGGCCAAUGGUGGCUAGGGAGGAGAGAUCGGGCGGCGGGGAGCUCUGAUCUGAUCUGCUGCGACGCGUGGUGGUAGAUGGUGCGCCGGAGGCAGGUUGUGCUUUGCUGCUGCCGCGAAUCUUGAGCUGAAGCAUGUCGGAGUCUAGCAGGGCGUUCAAUGUCGACGGCGCCGGGCAGCCGGCCGACGGGGCGCGGGGAGGAGGGAAGCGGCGCCCGGGCGCGGGCGGCGGCGGGAGCGUGCCGUUCCACAGGCUGUUCGCGUUCGCGGACGGCGCCGACGCGGCGCUGAUGCUGGUCGGCGCGGUCGGCGCGGUGGCCAACGGCGCCGCGCUGCCGCUCAUGACGGUUCUGUUUGGCGGCCUCGUCGACGCCUUCGGCGGCGCGGCCGGCGGCAGCGGCGACGUCCUGGCCCGCGUUUCCCAGGUCUCCCUCGAGUUCGUCUACCUCGCCAUCGCCUCGGCCGUCGCCUCCUUCGCCCAGGUGACCUGCUGGAUGAUCACCGGCGAGCGGCAGGCGGCGCGGAUACGGAACAUGUACCUGAGGACCAUACUCAGGCAGGAGAUCUCCUUCUUCGACAUGUACACCAGCACCGGCGAGGUCGUGGGGCGCAUGUCCGGCGACACGGUGCUCAUCCAGGACGCCAUGGGGGAAAAGGUCGGCAAGUUCAUCCAGCUGAUGGUGACGUUCUUUGGAGGCUUCGCUGUGGCCUUCGCGCAGGGAUGGCUCCUCACCCUCGUCAUGGUGGCCACCAUCCCGCCGCUCGUCCUCUCCGGCGCGGUCAUGUCCAAUGUCGUCGCCAGGAUGGCGUCGCUGGGGCAGGCCGCCUACGCCGAAGCCGCGGUCGUCGUCGAGCAGACCGUCGGCUCCAUCAGAACAGUUGCAUCUUUCACUGGGGAGAAGAAAGCGGUGGAGAAGUACAACAAGUCGCUUAAGUGCGCUUACAGUUCCGGUGUCCGGGAAGGCCUAGUCGCUGCCAUCGGCAUGGGCACCGUCAUGAUGCUCCUGUUCUGCGGCUACUCCCUGGGGGUAUGGUAUGGAGCCAAGCUGAUCCUAGAGAAGGGAUACACAGGUGCCCAGGUCAUGAAUGUCAUCUUCGCGGUGCUUACCGGCUCACUAGCUCUAGGACAGGCGUCACCAAGCAUGAAAGCAUUCGCAGGAGGACAGGCUGCAGCAUACAAGAUGUUUGAAACAAUCAACAGGGAGCCCGAAAUCGAUGCAUACAGCACAGAGGGUAGGAUGCUAGACGACAUUCAGGGGGAUAUUGAGUUCAGAGAUGUUCACUUCUCUUACCCAACAAGGCCCAAUGAGCAAAUAUUCAGAGGUUUCUCCCUUACCAUACAGAGUGCCAAAACCGUUGCAUUGGUUGGCCAGAGUGGGAGUGGAAAAUCAACAGUUAUCAGCUUGAUCGAACGAUUUUACGAUCCUCAGCUCGGAGAAGUUCUAAUAGAUGGAGUGAAUAUCAAGGAGUUGCAGUUAAAGUGGAUCAGAAGUAAAAUUGGCUUAGUGAGCCAGGAGCCGGCCUUGUUUGCUGCAAGCAUAAGAGAUAACAUAGCUUAUGGUAAAGACAAUGCGACAGAUCAGGAAAUCAGAGCUGCGGCUGAGCUUGCUAACGCCUCCAAAUUCAUUGAUAAAUUACCCCAGGGUUUCACUACAUCGGUUGGUGAACAUGGAACACAACUAUCUGGUGGACAAAAGCAAAGAAUUGCCAUUGCCAGAGCGAUUCUCAAAGAUCCAAGAAUCCUGCUUUUGGACGAAGCGACAAGCGCUUUGGACACCGAAUCUGAAAGGAUUGUGCAGGAGGCUCUUGAUAGGGUCAUGACAAAUCGGACCACUGUCAUAGUUGCACACCGUUUGACCACUGUAAGGAAUGCUGAUACAAUUGCUGUCAUCUGCCGAGGAUCAAUAGUUGAAAAAGGUCCACACCAUGACCUUUUGAGGGACCCAGAAGGAGCUUACAGCCAACUGAUACGCCUACAGGAAACAAGUCAUGCUUCUGAGGGUGCAAGCAAUCAGAACAAGUCAGGUAGGAAGAGUGAUACUGGGAUUAGGUUAGGCAAACAAUUGUUGGUAAAUCAGUCAAAUAGCCAAAGGUCAUCUCGGGAUAACAGUAGCCACCACUCAUUCUCAGUGCCAUUCGGCAUACCUCAUGAAAUUGAUGUUCAGGUUGGCUGCUCGAAGAACAUAACUGAUGAAAUACAACAGGAAGUGCCCCUCAGUCGCCUGGCAUCCCUUAACAAACCAGAGGUCCCAGUGCUUAUACUUGGUUCUGUUGCUUCUGCUAUCAGCGGAGUGAUAUUCCCGAUCUUUGCAAUACUUUUGUCGAAUGUGAUCAAAGCAUUCUAUGAGCCCCCAGAAAUGCUAAAGAAGGAUGCUGCGUUUUGGUCAUCCAUGUUCUUGAUAUUUGGUGCAGUGUACUUCGUGUCACUCCCUGUCGGCUCAUACUUUUUCUCGGUGGCUGGGUGCAAGCUCAUCAGAAGAAUCAGACUAAUGACUUUUGAAAAGGUGGUCAAUAUGGAGAUUGGAUGGUUUGAUGACCCACAUAACUCAAGUGGCUCAAUUGGGUCAAGGCUAUCGUCGGAUGCAGCAAAAGUUAGGGGGCUCGUGGGUGAUACACUUCAACUGGUUGUGCAAAACUCUGCAACAUUAGUUGCUGGCCUGGUAAUUGCUUUCGUAUCAAACUGGGAGCUAUCUCUUAUCAUUUUGGCGUUGAUACCACUCAUCGGCCUAAAUGGAUGGAUCCAGAUGAAAUUUAUCCAGGGAUUCAGUGCAGAUGCAAAGAUGAUGUACGAGGAGGCAAGUCAAGUGGCAAAUGAUGCAGUAAGUAGCAUAAGGACAGUGGCCUCAUUUUCUGCUGAAGAGAAGGUGAUGGAUUUGUACAACAAAAAGUGCGAAGGACCGCUACAAACAGGAAUCAGGACAGGAAUAAUAAGUGGUAUUGGUUUUGGAGUUUCCUUCUUUUUGCUGUUUGGAGUCUACGCAGCAAGCUUCUAUGCUGGUGCUCGGCUUGUCGAGGAUAAGAAAACAACAUUUCCCAAAGUUUUCAGGGUGUUUCUUGCUCUCACAAUGGCAGCAAUCGGGGUAUCGCACACUAGCACCCUCACCUCAGAUUCCUCCAGAGCAAGAUCAGCUGUAUCUUCUAUAUUCGCCAUCGUGGACCGUAAAUCGAUGAUUGACCCAAGCGAUGACGCCGGGGUGAAUUUAGAACCACUAAGGGGCGAUAUUGAGUUUCGGCACGUGCGGUUCAGAUACCCGACCCGCCCUGACAUCCAGAUCUUCGAAGACCUAUGCUUGACAAUCCAGUCAGGAAAGACUGUCGCGCUUGUCGGGGAGAGUGGCAGCGGUAAAUCGACGGCGAUAGCGCUGCUGCAGAGAUUCUACGAUCCUGACGCGGGCCACAUACUUCUGGACGGGGUGGACAUCCAGAAGUUCCAGGUGAGGUGGCUGAGGCAGCAGAUGGGGCUGGUGAGCCAAGAGCCAGCCCUCUUCAACGACACCAUCCGAGCAAACAUUGCAUACGGGAAGGAAGGGGAGGCCACGGAAUCAGACAUCGUAUCUGCCGCACAACUGGCGAAUGCCCACAAGUUCAUCAGCUCGCUCCAUCAGGGGUACGACACGGUGGUCGGGGAGCGCGGCGCUCAGCUGUCGGGAGGGCAGAAGCAGCGGGUGGCGAUCGCACGGGCCGUGGCCAAGGACCCCAGGAUCCUGCUGCUGGACGAGGCGACGAGCGCGCUGGACGCGGAGUCGGAGCGGGCGGUGCAGGACGCGCUGGACCGGGUGGCGGCGAGCCGGACGACGGUGGUGGUGGCGCACCGCCUGUCGACGGUCCGGGGCGCCGACGUGAUCGCGGUGGUGAAGGACGGCGCGAUCGUCGAGAGGGGCACGCACGACGCCCUGAUCGCCGUCAAGGGCGGCGCCUACGCGUCCCUCGUCGCCCUCCACUCCGCGUCGUCGGCGUCGUCGUAGCGCCGCUCCAAGAGGGGCGCUCGCGAAUGAAAUCGUGCCGAGCCUGCGAGAUUGUUGGGGGUGGCACGCCUGGUAAUUAUUACCACGUUCGGUUCAGGUGUCAGUUCGCUGUGAAAAUGAAACCCUAUCAUCAAGAAUCAGAAUACCUAAGCACGAACGCUUUAUAUUUCUUUCUAGAAAAAGGAACAAGAAAGUUCUAUAGGAAUAACAAUACCCAAAUAUAUCUGCUACGUAUCAAAAUAAUCGUGCUCUCUAAAAUAUCCAGUUCUCGCCACUGCUUGAUAUAGCCGUAGCAAUAGGUUGUAAUAAAAGAAAAAUAACCGUGAUAUCUCUGAUGCAUAAUCAUGGUGUUGC